GAGCCCCACCACUAAGCCAGUGGUGAACUCCACAUACGCAUCCUUUGCUGAGGAUACGGUUAACGGAGCGAAAGCGACGUUCAACCUCAAAAGAAGCAGAGGGGGCUUAGUGGUGGGGUGACUGCGUACCUUUUGUAUAAUGGGUCAGCGACUUAUAUUCUGUAGCAAGGUUAACCGAAUAGGGGAGCCGGAGGGAAACCGAGUCUUAACCGGGCGUUAAGUUGCAGGGUAUAGACCCGAAACCCGGUGAUCUAGCCAUGGGCAGGUUGAAGGUUGGGUAACACUAACUGGAGGACCGAACCGACUAAUGUUGAAAAAUUAGCGGAUGACCUGUGGCUGGGGGUGAAAGGCCAAUCAAACCGGGAGAUAGCUGGUUCUCCCCGAAAGCUAUUUAGGUAGCGCCUCGUGAAUUCAUCUCCGGGGGUAGAGCACUGUUUCGGCUAGGGGGCCAUCCCGGCUUACCAACCCGAUGCAAACUGCGAAUACCGGAGAAUGUUAUCACGGGAGACACACGGCGGGUGCUAACGUCCGUCGUGAAGAGGGAAACAACCCAGACCGCCAGCUAAGGUCCCAAAGUCAUGGUUAAGUGGGAAACGAUGUGGGAAGGCCCAGACAGCCAGGAUGUUGGCUUAGAAGCAGCCAUCAUUUAAAGAAAGCGUAAUAGCUCACUGGUCGAGUCGGCCUGCGCGGAAGAUGUAACGGGGCUAAACCAUG
Molecule: ribosomal RNA, 714 nt
Filed under: Salmonella enterica subsp. enterica serovar Schwarzengrund
Lineage: Bacteria; Pseudomonadati; Pseudomonadota; Gammaproteobacteria; Enterobacterales; Enterobacteriaceae
Description: partial 23S ribosomal RNA
Rfam family: Bacterial large subunit ribosomal RNA (bases 94-714)
Source: RNAcentral